This 773-nucleotide ribosomal RNA is filed under the name uncultured archaeon. RNAcentral's name for it is "bacterial SSU rRNA". It matches the Rfam family "Archaeal small subunit ribosomal RNA", at positions 325 to 1101 of the family's 1478-position model. The record is from RNAcentral.
ACGGGGCGCAGCAGGCGCGAAACCUUCACAAUGCACGAAAGUGUGAUGAGGUCAUCCCGAGUCCUAGGCUUACGUCUAGGUUUUCUGGAGUUUGAUAAGCUUCAGGAAUAAGGAGGGGGCAAGAACGGUGCCAGCCGCCGCGGUAAAACCGUCUCUUCGAGUGGCCACCGCGUUUACUGGGCUUAAAGCGUGCGUAGCGGGAUUAGUCCGUCCCACAUUAAAGACGGCUUCUCAAGAGUCCGAAGUGUGUGGGAAACAGCUAAUCUUGGCAAUGGGAUAGGGGCUCGGUACCCGUGGUGUAAAGGUGAAAUUUUAUAAUCCCACGGGGACCACCGAUGGCGAAGGCAGAGCCCUGGAACAUGUGCGACCGUCAGGCACGAAAGGGUGGGUAGCGAGCCGGAUUAGAUACCCGGGUAGUCCACCCCGUAAACGAUGCGGAUUAAGUGUAUGGGAAGCGAAUGCUUUCCAUGUGCCGUAGGGAAACCGUUAAAUCCGCCGCCUGGGAAGUACGCUCGCAAGAGUGAAACUUAAAGCAAUUGGCGGGAGAGCGCCACAAUGGGUGGAGCCUGCGGCUUAAUUGGACUCAACGCCGGAAAACUCACCAGAGUCUUCUAUCCGAUGCCAACCAGCUUGAAGAGCUUGUUGAAAGGAUGAAAGGGAAGUGCAUGGCCGUCUCCAGCUCGUGCCGUGAGGUGUCCUGUUAAGUCAGGCAACGAGCGAGAUCUCCGGGAAUACUUACCAGCGGAACCUAGCGGUUGCCGGGCACAGUAUUC